Long non-coding RNA from Spea bombifrons (plains spadefoot toad), 165 nucleotides. RefSeq lists it as uncharacterized. The record is from RefSeq and is a predicted model, not a curated record. The transcript is spliced from 2 exons. Lineage: Eukaryota; Metazoa; Chordata; Amphibia; Anura; Pelobatidae.
AAAGGCAGGGUUGUGUAAGGGUAGUGUAUGUGUAUAUGCAUGUUAAUGGGCAGGUGUGUGUAAAGGCAGCAGUGUGUAAGGGCAAUGUAAAUAAAAUAACCUCUGUAAAAAAAUAGCUGGGGGGGCACAAUUUUCCAUUCUUGCCUCAGGCGCAAAAGGAGCUAG